RNAcentral lists this ribosomal RNA (506 nucleotides) under uncultured bacterium. RNAcentral describes it as "partial 16S ribosomal RNA". It matches the Rfam family "Bacterial small subunit ribosomal RNA", at positions 29 to 523 of the family's 1533-position model. The record is from RNAcentral.
AUUGAACGCUGGCGGCAGGCCUAACACAUGCAAGUCGAGCGGCAGCGGAAAGUAGCUUGCUACUUUGCCGGCGAGCGGCGGACGGGUGAGUAAUGUCUGGGGAUCUGCCUGAUGGAGGGGGAUAACUACUGGAAACGGUAGCUAAUACCGCAUAACGUCGCAAGACCAAAGUGGGGGACCUUCGGGCCUCACGCCAUCGGAUGAACCCAGAUGGGAUUAGCUAGUAGGUGGGGUAAUGGCUCACCUAGGCGACGAUCCCUAGCUGGUCUGAGGGGGUGACCAGCCACACUGGGACUGAGACAGGGCCCAGACUCCUACGGGAGGCAGCAGUGGGGAAUAUUGCACAAUGGGCGCAAGCCUGAUGCAGCCAUGCCGCGUGUGUGAAGAAGGCCUUCGGGUUGUAAAGCACUUUCAGCGAGGAGGAAGGGUGGUGUGUUAAUAGCACACGACAUUGACGUUACUCGCAGAAGAAGCACCGGCUAACUCCGUGCCAGCCGCCGCGGUAA